Non-coding RNA from Aedes albopictus (Asian tiger mosquito), 73 nucleotides. The record is from Rfam. NCBI's taxonomy places the organism in Eukaryota, Metazoa, Arthropoda, Insecta, Diptera, Culicidae.
UGUUCUGCGGCUUAGUUGGUUAUAGCGUCGGAUCAGCAAUACGGAGUCCUGGGUUCGAAUCCCACCAAAACGA